CGGCGUGCUUAACACAUGCAAGUCGAACGAACCUUCGGGUUAGUGGCGGACGGGUGAGUAACGCGUGGGAAUCUGCCCUCAGGAGGGGGAUAACGGUUGGAAACGGCCGCUAAUACCCCAUAUGCCGAGAGGUGAAAUGAAUUUCGCCUGAGGAUGAGUCCGCGUCUGAUUAGCUAGUUGGUGAGGUAAGAGCUCACCAAGGCAUCGAUCAGUAGCUGGUCUGAGAGGAUGAUCAGCCACACUGGGACUGAGACACGGCCCAGACUCCUACGGGAGGCAGCAGUGGGGAAUUUUCCGCAAUGGGCGAAAGCCUGACGGAGCAACGCCGCGUGAGGGAUGAAGGCCUCUGGGCUGUAAACCUCUUUUAUCAAGGAAGAAGAUCUGACGGUACUUGAUGAAUAAGCCACGGCUAAU
RNAcentral lists this ribosomal RNA (414 nucleotides) under uncultured cyanobacterium. RNAcentral's name for it is "bacterial SSU rRNA". It matches the Rfam family "Bacterial small subunit ribosomal RNA", at positions 40 to 501 of the family's 1533-position model. The record is from RNAcentral. Lineage: Bacteria; Bacillati; Cyanobacteriota.